RNAcentral lists this small nuclear RNA (64 nucleotides) under Phascolarctos cinereus (koala). The record is from RNAcentral. Lineage: Eukaryota; Metazoa; Chordata; Mammalia; Diprotodontia; Phascolarctidae.
GUGCUUGCUUCAGCAGCACAUAUACUAAAAUUGGAAUGAUACAGAGAAGAUUAGCAUGGCACCU